GGCACCUGGCUCGGGUCCCCUUCCACAGUGCGGAAGCUUUGUUAUUUCCCUCUUUGCAAUAAAUCUUGCUAGUGCUCACUCUUUGGGUCCAUACUGCCUUUAUGAGCUGUAACACUCACUGUGAAGGUCUGCAGCUUCACUCCUGAAGCCAGCGAGACCAAGAACCCACCAAUUCCGGACACAGUGUGACAUUAGCUUUCAUCUCUGAUUGUAAAGGAGGAAAAGGAUUCUGACAUGACAAUGAAGAGACUGAAGAAGUAUCAUCAAUGGAUAAAGCAGAAUAGAAACAGCAGCCGCCUGGACCAUACCUAGAAAGGAAUCAUUUUGCCUGGCAGAAGCAUGAAACAGUUCCAUAUUUGAGAUGGCAUUUACCACUGAGGGAAAAAAAAAGUUUCAUGAAAGAAGCAAGAAUUGGACUGACCACACACUUGUCAUUGCCAAUCAGAUGCUGCGAAACAAUGGAUUUAUUUUUCAAAGUUCUGAAAUAAAAUGCUAAUCAAACUAGAAUCUGCUUAGCUAAGACACUGCCAAAUAUGAAGACCAAAUAAAAGAUUUUCAGAUGUGUGAUAAUUCAGAGUUUAUACUCCAAGCAUUCUUUUGUAGAAAGGAACUCAAGGGUGUAUUUCAGCAAAAUAAAGAAGUAAAGUACUAGAGCCAUCACUCAGAGAGCAAAUGACGAGACCAGAUGCUAACAACAAACAUUGUGUGACUUCCUAUCUCCAGCCACUUCUGAAGUCAGAUCUAUUUUCUUGAGUAAGUAAUUUUUUUCUAAGUUUGGGUUGUUUUUCAUACCAUUUGGAACCAAGAGUUCUGGUAGUCACAAUCAUGUUUGGAGGUACUAGAUGGACUGUAAAAGCAGAAUCUCUAUGUACCUUCUCCGCUGAACAGCAUGGGAAUUGGUGCCACAGAGAAAGAAAUGUGGUCCUACCAAACCAGUUAGUUCAAGAGCAAUGCUUAGGUAGCCAUAGUAAUUUAAACUGUUUAUUGAUUUAAAAUUUUUAGAAGUCACUGAGACCUUUAUAGUCAGAGAAAUUGUCAGCCUUGACAAGUAUAAAAGUAAAUGUACAUGUAACCAAAGUCGGGAAGUGAAAGAGAGUGAAGAAAGGUAGGUAAGGUAGACAGAGGGCAGGAAAGCCCAUAUCCUCAUCUCCCAAAGCAGAAAGUGAAGAGAUCUGCCCUGUGAAGACCAGAAUAAGAAUUGGAGGUACACUUAACAGUCCCUGCCAUGUCAUCAACAAAUGGUGUUGAGAACACAUUGUAGGAAGGGAAAUACUUACAUUCAUAGAAAUACAGAAGCCAUAUGAUUUUUAAAUAUCAUUUCAGAAGUUCAAAAAUAAGUCUACAAGCUCAUGUGAUAGAUAUUAGGUCUAUUCCUAAGUAGUCUCAUACUAUACAUGGAAUUUGUGCUUGGCGUCUUUUUCCCUUUUUAGGAACAUUUGGUCCACGGUGCAGUUCAAAAAAAAAAAAAUGGGUAAAGGACCAAAGCAGGCAGUUCAUGCAGGCAAACCCACACAUUCAC
Long non-coding RNA from Pongo pygmaeus (Bornean orangutan), 1519 nucleotides. RefSeq lists it as uncharacterized. The transcript has 3 exons. The record is from RefSeq and is a predicted model, not a curated record. Lineage: Eukaryota; Metazoa; Chordata; Mammalia; Primates; Hominidae.